AGGCGAAAAGAACCCCGGGAGGGGAGUGAAAUAGAUCCUGAAACCGCAUGCAUACAAACAGUGGGAGCCCCUGCUUCAAGCACCUUUGGGUUCUUUGUUGCCCGCGCGAAGCGCGACGCAACAAAAGGCUUAGAGGGGAGUGAAGUGUUGACUGUCGACUUGAAUACGCAGUAUUCAAGGCGACGGGCAGCCCUGCGAGAACACCCGGAGGGUGUUUGAAGCAGGGGUGACUGCGUACCUUUUGUAUAAUGGGUCAGCGACUUACGUUCAGUUGCGAGCUUAACCGAAUAGGGGAGGCGCAGCGAAAGCGAGUCUGAACAGGGCGUUUGAGUAGCUGGGCGUAGACCCGAAACCGGAUGAUCUAUCCAUGGCCAGGUUGAAGGUGGGGUAACACCCACUGGAGGACCGAACCCACUACUGUUGCAAAAGUAGGGGAUGAGCUGUGGAUAGGGGUGAAAGGCUAAACAAAUCCGGAGAUAGCUGGUUCUCCUCGAAAACUAUUUAGGUAGUGCGUCGCACGGACACCCACGGGGGUAGAGCACUGUAAUCGUUGGGGGGGUCGUCUAGAUCUACCCCGCGAUCGCAAACUCCGAAUACCGUGGAGUGCUAUGCGGCAGACAGACAUCGGGUGCUAACGUCCGGUGUCGAGAGGGAAACAACCCAGACCCACAGCUAAGGUCCCCAAUGACGUGCUAAGUGGUAAACGAAGUGGGAAGGCAUAGACAGCCAGGAAGUUGGCUUAGAAGCAGCCAUCCUUUAAAGAAAGCGUAAUAGCUCACUGGUCGAGUCGUCCUGCGCGGAAGAUGUAACGGGGCUAAGCACGUAACCGAAGCUUGGGGUUCAGGAUUCAGGUUCCAGGGUACAGGUGACAGAAUGACGUUACGGUUUGAUGGUUGGAAGUGUUCAAGCGCGGCUACAAGGUUUCUCUUGAGAUCCAUAAAGCCAGUUUGGCAUGUCCGGCGAUUGAGCAGUAUGCGUUGGCUGACCAAGUCCGGCGCGCAAGUAAAGGCGUUUGUGCCAAUCUUGCGGAAGGCUUUGGCAAGCAGAGUCAUUCCAAGGUCGAAUUCAAGCGUUUCGUCCACAUGGCCAUAGGCAGCGCGGACGAGAUGCGGGUUUGGCUGAGGUGCUGUAAAGAUUUGGGCUACAUCGAUGAGAUGACAUGGCAGCAGUGGCGAGAUGAGUAUGAGACGAUCGCCAAGAUGCUGACGGGGUGAUCGAAGUCACUGUAACCCGUAUCCUGCAACCUGAAUCCUGAACGGUAGAGGAGCGUUCCGUAGGCCUGCGAAGGUGUGCUGUGAGGCAUGCUGGAGGUAUCGGAAGUGCGAAUGCUGACAUGAGUAGCGAUAAAACGGGUGAAAAGCCCGUUCGCCGGAAGCCCAAGGUUUCCUGCGCAACGUUCAUCGGCGCAGGGUGAGUCGGCCCCUAAGGCGAGGCUGAGAAGCGUAGCUGAUGGGAAACAGGUCAAUAUUCCUGUACCUUCGUUCACUGCGAUGGGGGGACGGAGAAGGGUAGGCCAGCCGGGUGUUGGAAGUCCCGGUUUAAGCGUGUAGGUGUGCCCCUUAGGCAAAUCCGGGGGGCUGAGCCGAGGCGUGAUGACGAGGCACUACGGUGCCGAAGUGGUUGAUCCCAUGCUUCCAAGAAAAGCCCCUAAGCUUCAGGUGGAUGAAGACCGUACCGCAAACCGACACAGGUGGGCAGGGUGAGAAUCCUAAGGCGCUUGAGAGAACUCUGGAGAAGGAACUCGGCAAAUUGACACCGUAACUUCGGGAGAAGGUGUGCCCCUGGUAGGUGAAGGCCCUCGCGGCUGGAGCCCAGAGGGGUUGCAGUGAAAAGGUGGCUGCGACUGUUUAACAAAAACACAGCACUCUGCAAACACGAAAGUGGACGUAUAGGGUGUGACGCCUGCCCGGUGCCGGAAGGUUAAGUGAUGGGGUGCAAGCUCUUGAUCGAAGCCCCGGUAAACGGCGGCCGUAACUAUAACGGUCCUAAGGUAGCGAAAUUCCUUGUCGGGUAAGUUCCGACCCGCACGAAUGGCGUAACGAUGGCCACACUGUCUCCUCCAGAGACUCAGCGAAAUUGAAGUGUUUGUGAAGAUGCAAUCUCCCCGCGGCUAGACGGAAAGACCCCAUGAACCUUUACUGCAGCUUUGCAUUGGACUUUGACGGGACUUGUGUAGGAUAGGUGGGAGGCGAAGAAGGCAGGACGCCAGUUCUGCUGGAGCCGACGUUGAAAUACCACCCUGGUGUCGUUGAGGUUCUAACCUGGGCCCCUGAUCGGGGUCGGGGACCGUGCAUGGUAGGCAGUUUGACUGGGGCGGUCUCCUCCUAAAGCGUAACGGAGGAGCACGAAGGUUCGCUAGACACGGUCGGAAAUCGUGUUGAUAGUGCAAGGGCAAAAGCGAGCUUGACUGCGAGACGGACAUGUCGAGCAGGUGCGAAAGCAGGUCCUAGUGAUCCGGUGGUUCUGUAUGGAAGGGCCAUCGCUCAACGGAUAAAAGGUACUCUGGGGAUAACAGGCUGAUUCCGCCCAAGAGUUCA
RNAcentral lists this ribosomal RNA (2537 nucleotides) under hot springs metagenome. Its description in RNAcentral is "bacterial LSU rRNA". It matches the Rfam family "Bacterial large subunit ribosomal RNA", at positions 512 to 2502 of the family's 2925-position model. The record is from RNAcentral.